Molecule: ribosomal RNA, 496 nt
Filed under: uncultured bacterium
Lineage: Bacteria
Description: partial 16S ribosomal RNA
Rfam family: Bacterial small subunit ribosomal RNA
Source: RNAcentral
GAUGAACGCUGGCGGCGUGCCUAAUACAUGCAAGUCGAGCGAACAGACGAGGAGCUUGCUCCUCUGCCGUUAGCGGCGGACGGGUGAGUAACACGUGGAUAACCUACCUAUAAGACUGGGAUAACUUCGGGAAACCGGAGCUAAUACCGGAUAAUAUAUUGAACCGCAUGGUUCAAUAGUGAAAGACGGUUUUGCUGUCACUUAUAGAUGGAUCCGCGCCGCAUUAGCUAGUUGGUAAGGUAACGGCUUACCAAGGCAACGAUGCGUAGCCGACCUGAGAGGGUGAUCGGCCACACUGGAACUGAGACACGGUCCAGACUCCUACGGGAGGCAGCAGUAGGGAAUCUUCCGCAAUGGGCGAAAGCCUGACGGAGCAACGCCGCGUGAGUGAUGAAGGUCUUCGGAUCGUAAAACUCUGUUAUUAGGGAAGAACAAAUGUGUAAGUAACUAUGCACGUCUUGACGGUACCUAAUCAGAAAGCCACGGCUAACUACGU